UACGUAGGGCGCGAGCGUUGUCCGGAAUUAUUGGGCGUAAAGAGCUCGUAGGCGGCCUGUUGCGUCCGCUGUGAAAGCCCGGGGCUUAACCCCGGGUCGGCAGUGGAUACGGGCAGGCUAGAGGUAGGUAGGGGAGAAUGGAAUUCCCGGUGUAGCGGUGAAAUGCGCAGAUAUCGGGAGGAACACCGGUGGCGAAGGCGGUUCUCUGGGCCUUACCUGACGCUGAGGAGUGAAAGCGUGGGGAGCGAACAGG
Molecule: ribosomal RNA, 253 nt
Filed under: uncultured bacterium
Lineage: Bacteria
Description: partial 16S ribosomal RNA
Rfam family: Bacterial small subunit ribosomal RNA
Source: RNAcentral